This 424-nucleotide ribosomal RNA is filed under the name uncultured prokaryote. RNAcentral describes it as "bacterial SSU rRNA". It matches the Rfam family "Bacterial small subunit ribosomal RNA", at positions 355 to 796 of the family's 1533-position model. The record is from RNAcentral.
UGGGGAAUAUUGGACAAUGGGGGCAACCCUGAUCCAGCCAUGCCGCGUGAGUGAAGAAGGCCCUAGGGUUGUAAAGCUCUUUCAGCGGGGAAGAUGAUGACGGUACCCGCAGAAGAAGCCCCGGCUAACUCCGUGCCAGCAGCCGCGGUAAUACGGAGGGGGCAAGCGUUGUUCGGAAUUACUGGGCGUAAAGGGCGCGCAGGCGGUCGGUUGCGUCAGAUGUGAAAGCCCCGGGCUCAACCUGGGAACUGCAUUUGAUACGGGCUGGCUUGAGAGCGGAAGAGGAGUGUGGAAUUCCCAGUGUAGAGGUGAAAUUCGUAGAUAUUGGGAAGAACACCGGUGGCGAAGGCGGCACUCUGGUCCGUUUCUGACGCUGAGGCGCGAAAGCGUGGGGAGCAAACAGGAUUAGAUACCCCCGUAGUCC